UUUUCAUCAGACAAUCUGUGUGAGCACUGCAAAGUACGCUUCUUUAAGGUAAGGAGGUGAUCCAACCGCAGGUUCCCCUACGGUUACCUUGUUACGACUUCACCCCAGUCAUGAAUCACAAAGUGGUAAGCGCCCUCCCGAAGGUUAAGCUACCUACUUCUUUUGCAACCCACUCCCAUGGUGUGACGGGCGGUGUGUACAAGGCCCGGGAACGUAUUCACCGUGGCAUUCUGAUCCACGAUUACUAGCGAUUCCGACUUCAUGGAGUCGAGUUGCAGACUCCAAUCCGGACUACGACGCACUUUAUGAGGUCCGCUUGCUCUCGCGAGGUCGCUUCUCUUUGUAUGCGCCAUUGUAGCACGUGUGUAGCCCUGGUCGUAAGGGCCAUGAUGACUUGACGUCAUCCCCACCUUCCUCCAGUUUAUCACUGGCAGUCUCCUUUGAGUUCCCGGCCGGACCGCUGGCAACAAAGGAUAAGGGUUGCGCUCGUUGCGGGACUUAACCCAACAUUUCACAACACGAGCUGACGACAGCCAUGCAGCACCUGUCUCACGGUUCCCGAAGGCACAUUCUCAUCUCUGAAAACUUCCGUGGAUGUCAAGACCAGGUAAGGUUCUUCGCGUUGCAUCGAAUUAAACCACAUGCUCCACCGCUUGUGCGGGCCCCCGUCAAUUCAUUUGAGUUUUAACCUUGCGGCCGUACUCCCCAGGCGGUCUACUUAACGCGUUAGCUCCGGAAGCCACGCCUCAAGGGCACAACCUCCAAGUAGACAUCGUUUACGGCGUGGACUACCAGGGUAUCUAAUCCUGUUUGCUCCCCACGCUUUCGCACCUGAGCGUCAGUCUUUGUCCAGGGGGCCGCCUUCGCCACCGGUAUUCCUCCAGAUCUCUACGCAUUUCNNNNNNNNNNNNNNNNNNNNCCCCCCUCUACAAGACUCAAGCCUGCCAGUUUCGAAUGCAGUUCCCAGGUUGAGCCCGGGGAUUUCACAUCCGACUUGACAGACCGCCUGCGUGCGCUUUACGCCCAGUAAUUCCGAUUAACGCUUGCACCCUCCGUAUUACCGCGGCUGCUGGCACGGAGUUAGCCGGUGCUUCUUCUGCGGGUAACGUCAAUUGCUGCGGUUAUUAACCACAACACCUUCCUCCCCGCUGAAAGUACUUUACAACCCGAAGGCCUUCUUCAUACACGCGGCAUGGCUGCAUCAGGCUUGCGCCCAUUGUGCAAUAUUCCCCACUGCUGCCUCCCGUAGGAGUCUGGACCGUGUCUCAGUUCCAGUGUGGCUGGUCAUCCUCUCAGACCAGCUAGGGAUCGUCGCCUUGGUGAGCCGUUACCUCACCAACAAGCUAAUCCCAUCUGGGCACAUCUGAUGGCAAGAGGCCCGAAGGUCCCCCUCUUUGGUCUUGCGACGUUAUGCGGUAUUAGCCACCGUUUCCAGUAGUUAUCCCCCUCCAUCAGGCAGUUUCCCAGACAUUACUCACCCGUCCGCCACUCGUCAGCAAAGCAGCAAGCUGCUUCCUGUUACCGUUCGACUUGCAUGUGUUAGGCCUGCCGCCAGCGUUCAAUCUGAGCCAUGAUCAAACUCUUCAAUUUAAAAGUUUGAUGCUCAAUGAAUUAAACUUCGUAAUGAAUUACGUGUUCACUCUUGAGAC
RNAcentral lists this ribosomal RNA (1649 nucleotides) under Salmonella enterica subsp. enterica serovar Paratyphi A. RNAcentral's name for it is "16S ribosomal RNA". Lineage: Bacteria; Pseudomonadati; Pseudomonadota; Gammaproteobacteria; Enterobacterales; Enterobacteriaceae. The record is from RNAcentral.